This is a non-coding RNA of Gossypium raimondii (Peruvian cotton), 125 nucleotides long. NCBI's taxonomy places the organism in Eukaryota, Viridiplantae, Streptophyta, Magnoliopsida, Malvales, Malvaceae. The record is from Rfam.
AAUAGGAAAAUGACAAAUCAAAUUUUUACUCCUGAUUUUCAAUUUUUCCCUCCUGAAAAAAUUCAAAUUCAACAAGAAAAAAGCUAAAAAUUAGGAGGAAAAAUAUGAUUUGUCAUUCUCCUAUU